UGGGGAAUAUUGCGCAAUGGGGGAAACCCUGACGCAGCAACGCCGCGUGCAGGAAGAAGGUCUUCGGAUUGUAAACUGUUGUCGCAGGGGAAGAAGACAGUGACGGUACCCUGUGAGAAAGUCACGGCUAACUACGUGCCAGCAGCCGCGGUAAUACGUAGGUGACAAGCGUUGUCCGGAUUUACUGGGUGUAAAGGGCGCGUAGGCGGGAUAGCAAGUCAGUCGUGAAAUGCCGAGGCUUAACCUCGGAGCUGCGAUUGAAACUGUUAUUCUUGAGUAUCGGAGAGGAAAGCGGAAUUCCUAGUGUAGCGGUGAAAUGCGUAGAUAUUAGGAGGAACACCAGUGGCGAAGGCGGCUUUCUGGACGACAACUGACGCUGAGGCGCGAAAGUGUGGGGAGCAAACAGG
This 407-nucleotide ribosomal RNA is filed under the name uncultured bacterium. RNAcentral's name for it is "bacterial SSU rRNA". It matches the Rfam family "Bacterial small subunit ribosomal RNA", at positions 355 to 776 of the family's 1533-position model. The record is from RNAcentral.